This 467-nucleotide ribosomal RNA is filed under the name uncultured bacterium. RNAcentral's name for it is "bacterial SSU rRNA". It matches the Rfam family "Bacterial small subunit ribosomal RNA", at positions 329 to 793 of the family's 1533-position model. The record is from RNAcentral.
CUCCAGACUCCUACGGGAGGCAGCAGUGAGGAAUAUUGGUCAAUGGCCGGGAGGCUGAACCAGCCAAGUCGCGUGAGGGAAGACGGCCCUACGGGUUGUAAACCUCUUUUGUCAGGGAGCAAGGUGCAGGUCGGGACCUGCUGUGAGAGUACCUGAAGAAAAAGCAUCGGCUAACUCCGUGCCAGCAGCCGCGGUAAUACGGAGGAUGCGAGCGUUAUCCGGAUUUAUUGGGUGUAAAGGGAGCGUAGACGGAAAGGCAAGUCAGAAGUGAAAGCCCAAGGCUCAACCAUGGGACUGCUUUUGAAACUGUCAAACUAGAGUACGGGAGAGGUAAGAGGAAUUCCUAGUGUAGCGGUGAAAUGCGUAGAUAUUAGGAGGAACACCAGUGGCGAAGGCGUCUUACUGGACCGAAACUGACGUUGAGGCUCGAAAGCGUGGGGAGCAAACAGGAUUAGAUACCCCGGUAU